RNAcentral lists this ribosomal RNA (238 nucleotides) under uncultured bacterium. RNAcentral describes it as "partial 16S ribosomal RNA". It matches the Rfam family "Bacterial small subunit ribosomal RNA", at positions 28 to 258 of the family's 1533-position model. The record is from RNAcentral.
GACGAACGCUGGCGGCGUGCUUAACACAUGCAAGUCGAGCGGUAAGGCCCUUUUGGGGGACGACGAGCGGCGAACGGGUAGGAGUAACACGUGGGUGACCUCGCCCUCCAGCUCUGGGAGUAAGCCUCGGGAAACGUAGGGUCGUAAUAACUGGAUAUGACCUUUCCUCGCAUGGGGUUGGGUGGAAAGUUUUCGGUCUGGGGAGUGGGCCCGCGGCCUAUCAGCUUGUUGGUGGGGU